AUUGGAACAAGCCACUGCAAAGUUUUCUCCAUUUCAGCUUUGAUUUGGGCAACUGCAAGCUCUUCCUUUACAUGGAAUGUCUGUAAUUUGGAGCGCAGAGCAGAUUUGAUAUUGGGUGGAAGCCCUUGAUACAAGGCAUCCCUUGUAUUUGGAGGGACAGAACUUGAUCGGGACACCAGAGUAUCAAUUUGAGUGAUAAUAUUUGCAUAAUGCAAUGCAAGACCAGCAGAGCCCAAUCUUUUGUGAUUGCUCAAAGAACCUUUUACUGGUCUAUCACCAUCAGCACUACCAAAAGCUUCAUGGAUC
Molecule: unclassified non-coding RNA, 306 nt
Filed under: Hevea brasiliensis (rubber tree)
Lineage: Eukaryota; Viridiplantae; Streptophyta; Magnoliopsida; Malpighiales; Euphorbiaceae
Source: RNAcentral